GUAAACGCAAGUCCAACGAGGAAAAGACGUUGCUAGUUAGCAUUGAUUUGUUUUUGAAGAGACAUAUUUUUUGGGAGCAUCUGAUGACCUAACGUGGACCAAAGACCCUAGAGGAAAUGUCCGAUAUUCAAGCUGUGCGCUCUCAAACAGCUGGCCCAAGCAGCCCACUGAUGGGGAUGAUCGACUGGCCUGGAGGCUUUCCCGGAGCCCUAAUGCACCAGGGCAUUCCCGUGCUGUUGUUGCCUCUUCAGAAAGUAGGUUUAUUUUUGGUCAAUUGCACACUAGUGUUUGAAUGAAUCAUUGGGCUACUGGUCUUUCCAUCAGA
Long non-coding RNA from Coregonus clupeaformis (lake whitefish), 325 nucleotides. RefSeq lists it as uncharacterized. The transcript is spliced from 3 exons. Lineage: Eukaryota; Metazoa; Chordata; Actinopteri; Salmoniformes; Salmonidae. The record is from RefSeq and is a predicted model, not a curated record.